AAAGAAAGCGUAAUAGCUCACUGGUCGAGUCGGCCUGCGCGGAAGAUGUAACGGGGCUAAACCAUGCACCGAAGCUGCGGCAGCGACGCUGAUGCGUUGUUGGGUAGGGGAGCGUUCUGUAAGCCUGUGAAGGUGUGCUGUGAGGCAUGCUGGAGGUAUCAGAAGUGCGAAUGCUGACAUAAGUAACGAUAAAGCGGGUGAAAAGCCCGCUCGCCGGAAGACCAAGGGUUCCUGUCCAACGUUAAUCGGGGCAGGGUGAGUCGACCCCUAAGGCGAGGCCGAAAGGCGUAGUCGAUGGGAAACAGGUUAAUAUUCCUGUACUUGGUGUUACUGCGAAGGGGGGACGGAGAAGGCUAUGUUGGCCGGGCGACGGUUGUCCCGGUUUAAGCGUGUAGGCUGGUUUUCCAGGCAAAUCCGGAAAACUAAGGCUGAGGCGUGAUGACGAGGCACUACGGUGCUGAAGCAACAAAUGCCCUGCUUCCAGGAAAAGCCUCUAAGCAUCAGGUAACAUCAAAUCGUACCCCAAACCGACACAGGUGGUCAGGUAGAGA
This 551-nucleotide ribosomal RNA is filed under the name Escherichia coli. Its description in RNAcentral is "partial 23S ribosomal RNA". It matches the Rfam family "Bacterial large subunit ribosomal RNA", at positions 1125 to 1677 of the family's 2925-position model. Lineage: Bacteria; Pseudomonadati; Pseudomonadota; Gammaproteobacteria; Enterobacterales; Enterobacteriaceae. The record is from RNAcentral.